AUUGAACGCUGGCGGCAGGCCUAACACAUGCAAGUCGAGCGGCAGCGGGAAAGUAGCUUGCUACUUUUGCCGGCGAGCGGCGGACGGGUGAGUAAUGCCUGGGGAUCUGCCCAGUCGAGGGGGAUAACAGUUGGAAACGACUGCUAAUACCGCAUACGCCCUACGGGGGAAAGCAGGGGACCUUCGGGCCUUGCGCGAUUGGAUGAACCCAGGUGGGAUUAGCUAGUUGGUGAGGUAACGGCUCACCAAGGCGACGAUGCGUAGCCGAGCUGAGGGGAUGAUCGGCCACAUUGGGACGGAGACACGGCCCAGACUCCUACGGGAGGCAGCAGUGGGGAAUAUUGCACAAUGGGGGAAACCCUGAUGCAGCAACGCCGCGUGAGUGAUGAAGGCCUGAGGGUUGUAAAGCACUUUCAGUGGGGAGGAGGAUUGCCAGGUUAAGAGCCAGGUAAUUGGACGUUACCCACAGAAGAAGCACCGGCUAACUCCGUGCCAGCCGCCGCCGUAA
RNAcentral lists this ribosomal RNA (508 nucleotides) under uncultured bacterium. Its description in RNAcentral is "partial 16S ribosomal RNA". It matches the Rfam family "Bacterial small subunit ribosomal RNA", at positions 29 to 523 of the family's 1533-position model. The record is from RNAcentral.